Molecule: long non-coding RNA, 596 nt
Organism: Drosophila pseudoobscura
Lineage: Eukaryota; Metazoa; Arthropoda; Insecta; Diptera; Drosophilidae
Exons: 4
Source: RefSeq, a predicted model, not a curated record
CGAUUAGAAAUUAAUCAGUCAAAUGUGGUAUCCAGACUAUUUUGUUUAAACACCUGGUCUCGGAGACUACAAUACUUAGAGGCAUAUUUCCCAAAUAGUAGCAGCAUGCUCUCCUCAAAAACCCAAAUAAACAUAUUCCCAACAAAAAAGUAAACCUAGUAACCCAUGCCCGAUGAAACCCCAGUUUUCAAAUUUUGAUUUGUUCCUCGGAGUCGAGCAGAGCAUACAGAUGAAGGAACAACAAUUAGGGGCAGUACAGCAGCACACACACCUCAGGAACAGUACGCCAUUAUUCAGCCACAACCAACCAGCAAUUCAGCCCAACCAGCCCCAACAAAUCAGCGAUCAACACAAUGGAACAUAAAACAACCAGAGAACAAACUACACAUAAGAAGCAUUCAAGCAGUGAAACUAAUGAUAACCGAUGACGACUUGGAAACGACUUGGAUUUGAAGUGUGGAGUAGGCCUACUGGGGAUACCACGUAAAAAAAAAACGCGCCCAGAUCUUUACCAAAUGUUGGUGGUGUGGAAAAGAGUUCAUUAAACUGUCCAAAUAUAAACGUAUAGUACGAAUAAAUAAAGAAUGACCAAUUCA